UGGCGGACGGGUGAGGAAUACAUCGGAAUCUACUCUGUCGUGGGGGAUAACGUAGGGAAACUUACGCUAAUACCGCAUACGACCUACGGGUGAAAGCAGGGGAUCUUCGGACCUUGCGCGAUUGAAUGAGCCGAUGUCGGAUUAGCUAGUUGGCGGGGUAAAGGCCCACCAAGGCGACGAUCCGUAGCUGGUCUGAGAGGAUGAUCAGCCACACUGGAACUGAGACACGGUCCAGACUCCUACGGGAGGCAGCAGGC
RNAcentral lists this ribosomal RNA (257 nucleotides) under uncultured Stenotrophomonas sp. Its description in RNAcentral is "partial 16S ribosomal RNA". It matches the Rfam family "Bacterial small subunit ribosomal RNA", at positions 96 to 354 of the family's 1533-position model. The record is from RNAcentral. Lineage: Bacteria; Pseudomonadati; Pseudomonadota; Gammaproteobacteria; Lysobacterales; Lysobacteraceae.